This 415-nucleotide unclassified non-coding RNA is filed under the name Hevea brasiliensis (rubber tree). The record is from RNAcentral. Lineage: Eukaryota; Viridiplantae; Streptophyta; Magnoliopsida; Malpighiales; Euphorbiaceae.
GGGUAAGACCUAUGUGGUCCAAGAUGGUGAUAUUAUAUUCUUCAAGUUCAAUGUCUCUGGGGGUGGGAAGAAGUGAGGUGGUGGUGGAUCUGCACGGAACUUAUGAAGCUGCAUCAAUUCGUUGGCGAGUUAAAAGAUGAUAUAGUUUUGCCUCAUUAUUAGGUUGCAGAUAAAGUUUAUCUUGUAUGCGAGGUUUCUGCAAAAUUUAUGACAUGUUUCAUAGUCUUUAUCUGCAUUUGUAGCUUGAUGGAUAUUCGAGUCAUUUUUGUCUUCUGUUUUUGUACUCCUUUCAGUGAGGCUGAUGCCAAAUUCAAUUUAUAAGUUAUUGGCUGGCAUUAGCAUUUGAUGUUAUGUAGUAAUUGAAGAAACAAUCUGGAGAAUUGCUGAUAGAUUUAAAUCGCACAAGAUAUACGUG